GAUGAAGAACGUAGCGAAAUGCGAUAAGUAGUGUGAAUUGCAGAAUUCCGUGAAUCAUCGAAUCUUUGAACGCACAUUGCGCCUUCUGGUAUUCCGGAAGGCAUGCCUGUUCGAGAGUCAUUAACAACCGUUUCGAUCCCUUUCUUUCAGAAAUUACAAAGAGGAAAGGGGUUUGGUUAUGGUGGAGGAGGGAAAGGGAGCGUUUAGCCUGUAAAAAAAGAGGCUGUGUUCCGCCUCCGCCCCAAAAUUGUACAGGCGGUCGUGUGCGCCCACGCAUAGAGGUGUUGUAAAAGCUGCCACGGCACUUUUCACCUGUGCAGUGCGAGAUUGGCCAGCCGGUUUAAAAACCCCUCCAAACAAUCAAAGGUUGACCUCGGAUCAGGUAGGGAUACCCGCUGAACUUAAGCAUAUCAAUAAGCGGAGGA
This 425-nucleotide unclassified non-coding RNA is filed under the name soil metagenome. Its description in RNAcentral is "partial contains 5.8S ribosomal RNA, internal transcribed spacer 2, and large subunit ribosomal RNA". The stretch from base 1 to 120 matches the Rfam family "5.8S ribosomal RNA", at positions 35 to 154 of the family's 154-position model. The record is from RNAcentral.